CCUACGGGAGGCAGCAGUGGGGAAUAUUGCUCAAUGGGGGAAACCCUGAAGCAGCGACGCCGCGUGAGGGAUGAAUGUUUUCGGAGUGUAAACUCCUUUUGUUAGGGAAGAUAAUGACGGUAUCUGACGAAUAAGCACCGGCUAACUCCGUGCCAGCAGCCGCGGUAAUACGGAGGGUGCAAGCGUUACUCGGAAUCACUGGGCGUAAAGAGCGCGUAGGCGGGAGAGCAAGUCAGAUGUGAAAUCCUAGGGCUUAACCAUAGAACUGCAUUUGAAACUGUUAUUCUAGAGUAUGGGAGAGGUAGGUGGAAUUCUUGGUGUAGGGGUAAAAUGCGUAGAGAUCAAGAGGAACACUAAUUGCGAAGGCGACCUGCUAGACUAUAACUGACGCUGAUGCGCGAAAGCGUGGGGAGCAAACAGGAUUAGAUACCCCAGUAGUC
RNAcentral lists this ribosomal RNA (440 nucleotides) under uncultured bacterium. Its description in RNAcentral is "partial 16S ribosomal RNA". It matches the Rfam family "Bacterial small subunit ribosomal RNA", at positions 338 to 795 of the family's 1533-position model. The record is from RNAcentral.